This 589-nucleotide ribosomal RNA is filed under the name Haemophilus influenzae. RNAcentral describes it as "bacterial LSU rRNA". It matches the Rfam family "Bacterial large subunit ribosomal RNA", at positions 1 to 589 of the family's 2925-position model. Lineage: Bacteria; Pseudomonadati; Pseudomonadota; Gammaproteobacteria; Pasteurellales; Pasteurellaceae. The record is from RNAcentral.
GUUGUAUAGUUAAGUGACUAAGCGUACAAGGUGGAUGCCUUGGCAAUCAGAGGCGAAGAAGGACGUGCUAAUCUGCGAAAAGCUUGGAUGAGUCGAUAAGAGGCGUUUAAUCCAAGAUAUCCGAAUGGGGAAACCCAGUAGAUGAAGAAUCUACUAUCAACAAGUGAAUUCAUAGCUUGUUGAGGCAAACCGGGAGAACUGAAACAUCUAAGUACCCCGAGGAAAAGAAAUCAACCGAGAUUUCGUCAGUAGCGGCGAGCGAAAGCGAAAGAGCCAGUAAGUGAUAGCAGUAUAGUGAGGAGAAUGUGUUGGGAAACACAAUCAAAGAGGGUGAUAAUCCCGUAUCUAAAAACCAUAUUGUGGUACUAAGCUAACGAGAAGUAGGGCGGGACACGUGAUAUCCUGUUUGAAGAAGGGGGGCCCAUCCUCCAAGGCUAAAUACUCCUGAUUGACCGAUAGUGAACCAGUACUGUGAAGGAAAGGCGAAAAGAACCCCGGUGAGGGGAGUGAAAUAGAACCUGAAACCUUGUACGUACAAGCAGUGGGAGCCCCAUCACUUAAUCCGAUUGGAAGGUGAUGAAAAGCAACC